This 695-nucleotide ribosomal RNA is filed under the name Megalospora atrorubricans subsp. australis. RNAcentral describes it as "SSU rRNA". It matches the Rfam family "Bacterial small subunit ribosomal RNA", at positions 376 to 1145 of the family's 1533-position model. Lineage: Eukaryota; Fungi; Ascomycota; Lecanoromycetes; Teloschistales; Megalosporaceae. The record is from RNAcentral.
UGUAUAGCAAUAGCUAAUUGCGCUAAAUUAGUGUAAAAUCGACCCUGUCGAAUAAAAUUCUGGGUAGAAUUAUGAUAAUGACAUUGUCUAUCCAUAAGUCUUGACCAAAUUACGUGCCAGCAGUCGCGGUAACACGUAGCAGACAAGUGUUAUUCAUCUUUAAUAGGUUUAUGGGGUACUUAGACGGUAAAUCAAGCCUAAAAAGGGACUAAUUUUCUAGAGUUUUAUGUGAGGAAGUAUUAAGGUACUGGUGGUGUAGAGAUGAAAUUCUAUGAUACCUUGAAUGGCACAGGUAUAGGCGAAAGCAUCUUCUUAUGUAAUAACUGACGUUAAAAGACGAAGGCUUUGUGUCUCGAACAGGAUUAGAUACCCUAGUAGUCAAAGCAGACAAUGAUGAAUGUCAUAGAUUGGAUUUAAAUUUAUUUAAUCUAUAAAUGAAAGUGUAAGCAUUCCACCUUAAGAGUAAUUUGGCAACAUUGGAACUGAAAUCAUUAGACCGUUUCUGAGACCAGUUGUGAAGUAUGUUGUUUAAUUUGAUGAUCCGCAAAAAACCUUACCACAACUGAAUAGAUAAAUUUUAUCAUACAAGCGUUGCACGGCUGUCUUUAGUUAAUGUCGUGAGACUUUGGUUAGUUCCAUUAAAUUAACGUAAACCCUUACUUUAUCUUAAAAUAAAGUAGUUCACCACUAUAUUG